RNAcentral lists this ribosomal RNA (418 nucleotides) under uncultured bacterium. Its description in RNAcentral is "bacterial SSU rRNA". It matches the Rfam family "Bacterial small subunit ribosomal RNA", at positions 358 to 773 of the family's 1533-position model. The record is from RNAcentral.
CGAAUCAUCCACAAUGGGCGAAAGCCUGAUGGUGCGACGCCGCGUGGGGGAUGAAGGCCUUCGGGUCGUAAACCCCUGUCACCAGGGAACAAAAAGUCGGUUCAUACCCGACCUUGAGUUAACCUGGAGAGGAAGCAGUGGCUAACUCCGUGCCAGCAGCCGCGGUAAUACGGGGACUGCAAGCGUUCCUCGGAUUCACUGGGCGUAAAGGGUGCGCAGACGGCCAAAUGUGUCAGGUGUGAAAUCCCGGGGCUUAACCCCGGAACUGCGCCUGAAACUGUUUGGCUAGAGGCUCGGAGAGGUAAGCGGAAUUCCAGGUGUAGCGGUGAAAUGCGUAGAUAUCUGGAGGAACACCUAAGGCGAAGGCAGCUUACUGGACGAGUUCUGACGUUCAGGCACGAAAGCGUGGGGAGCAAAA